RNAcentral lists this ribosomal RNA (253 nucleotides) under uncultured bacterium. Its description in RNAcentral is "partial 16S ribosomal RNA". It matches the Rfam family "Bacterial small subunit ribosomal RNA", at positions 524 to 776 of the family's 1533-position model. The record is from RNAcentral.
GACGAACCGUGCGAACGUUGUUCGGAUUCACUGGGCUUAAAGGGCGCGUAGGCGGGCCGCGUAGUCGGUGGUGAAAUCUUUCGGCUCAACCGGAAAAUCGCCUCCGAUACUGGCGGCCUCGAGGGGGGUAGGGGCAUGCGGAACUUCGGGUGGAGCGGUGAAAUGCGUAGAUAUCCGAAGGAACGCCGGUGGCGAAAGCGGCGUGCUGGACCCCUUCUGACGCUGAGGCGCGAAAGCCAGGGGAGCGAACGGG